UGAAACACCGUUUCUCGUGCGAUCGUCGAAGUUAAGCAACGUCGAGCCUGGUCAGUAUCUAGAUGGGUGACUGCGUGGGAAUACCAGGCGAUGUAAG
Non-coding RNA from Acanthosepion pharaonis, 97 nucleotides. The record is from the annotation of a GenBank genome assembly. Lineage: Eukaryota; Metazoa; Mollusca; Cephalopoda; Sepiida; Sepiidae.